RNAcentral lists this long non-coding RNA (1391 nucleotides) under Cyanoderma ruficeps (rufous-capped babbler). Its description in RNAcentral is "lncRNA (ENSCRFG00000001629.1)". Lineage: Eukaryota; Metazoa; Chordata; Aves; Passeriformes; Timaliidae. The record is from RNAcentral.
UGGGAACACCCCCCUCCCAUCCCAGGGCGACCCCGGGACUGGAAUCCCGAAAGGAAGCGGGACACCCCAUGGAAUUCCACCCCUCCCAAAGGCCCCGGGGAUACCCCAAAGCGCCGUUUUGGGGCGACACGAAUCCCAACCCUGCUCUCCUCCAUUUUGGGGCUUCCAUCUCCCAACUGCAGCAAACCCAGGCUGGCUCCUUCCCGGGACAGCCCCUUCCCUGGGGACGGGAAGUUGGGAUAGAGGCGCUAUUUUGGGGAAAUUUUGCCUUUCCCCGGCAAAACAGCGGCUUGGGAGAGGCCCUGGCAGCGGGAGCCGGGCUGGCGUCACCCGGUUGAACAUUAACUCCACCGGGAUAAGCCGGGAUUUAUCAGAUCAGCCCCGCUCCCGCUCCGAGAUAACGCUCCCGGUUCCCCUCUGCGGCUUUUUGGGGAUCCCAAAGCCCCCAAAUGUCACCCGGGGAGCCCCAGGACGAAGCCAGGCCCCCGAGUUCCUCCUCAGGGAAUUCAGUGUCCCUCUAUCCCGCAUUUCCCGGCCCGGCGGCGCCAAGGGGAGGGGGACUGGGAGCCAGAGCGGGAGCGCCGGGAUUAAUGAAUAACCGGGAAAAGGCGGCGGGGGCCAGGGAGAGGUGUCACCGUCCCCGGCCGCCUCCCGUUCCCUAUGGAAAACAGCGGCCGCCCAACGGGAACCGCAAAUCCCACCGGAGAGGGGUGGGAUCCAGCCCCGGAGGGUGGGACGGCCAUUCCCGGGAAAAGUUGGGAUCCAGGAAAACAUCCCAUGUGCCGAGCCCAGGAUGGGGGCAGAUCCAUGGAGGCGUCUGGGCCUCGUCUCUGAUUCAUUCCCGGCUCAUUCCCGGCUCCUUCCCGGGCUGCCAAGGCCGGAUUUUAAUUAAACUGCGGAUUUUAAUUAACUCCUGGUCACCAAAGCGGAAUCAAACCCUCGGGGGGGGGCAGGGUGGGGGAGGACGUGGUCAGACUCCCCCUUUCACCCACAUUCCCGAUUCCUCAUUUCCUCCCGGAUACACCCGGGACUGGGAUCCGCUUCUUCUCCCCCCUCGCCGGCCGUUACCCCAAAACAACCCCAAAACAACCCCAAAACAACCCCAAAACCUUGGGAAAAAAAACCCCGGAUGCUCCAGGAGUGCCCGAGGGGGGUCCGGGGGCUCUUCCCACGUGGAUCCUCACGGGAAAACCCCGCGGAGGCCGAGGGGAAGCGGCGGCCGGGCCGUGAAAACACCGGGAGGAGGGAAACGGGGGGGCUCCGGUCACAGGGNAACCCAAAAAACCCAAAACAACCCCAAAAUCCAACCCCAAAACAACCCAAAACAACCCAAAACAACCCAAAACAACCCAAAACAACCCCAAAACAACCCAAAACAACCCAAAACAACC